ACCCUUUAGAUUCCUCACCCCUCAGAUCUAAAUAUUGGUCUGAGUGGCUGAAAAAGGAGGAAAAAGCAAAACUGAACAUGACAUGGAGUCUUUAAUAAAUAGAAGUUCAUUUCAAACAUAA
RNAcentral lists this small nucleolar RNA (121 nucleotides) under Echinops telfairi (small Madagascar hedgehog). Its description in RNAcentral is "Small nucleolar RNA SNORA61 (ENSETEG00000024216.1)". The record is from RNAcentral. Lineage: Eukaryota; Metazoa; Chordata; Mammalia; Afrosoricida; Tenrecidae.